RNAcentral lists this non-coding RNA (247 nucleotides) under Bacillus sp. (in: firmicutes). RNAcentral's name for it is "Bacillus sp. T-box sequence". It matches the Rfam family "T-box leader". Rfam says of the family: Uncharged tRNA acts as the effector for transcription antitermination of genes in the T-box leader family. T-boxes are found upstream of many aminoacyl-tRNA synthetase genes and some amino acid biosynthetic genes usually in Gram-positive bacteria. The record is from RNAcentral. Lineage: Bacteria; Bacillati; Bacillota; Bacilli; Caryophanales; Bacillaceae.
GUAAAAGUAAUGAUAAGGACAAGAGUAUUUUUUUACGGUUUAUAGAGAGGGAGGUCAUGGCUGGAAGCCUCCUAACACGAAAAAAAUACUUACCACCUUUAAACUUCAACAGUGAACGCUUCAUUUAGAAGCCUGUAAUUGUUGACGGAUGCAGCCGUUACCUGAACUAGAGUCAUUUUUGAAGCAUUAGGUUUUCAAAAAUGAAAAAUUGGGUGGAACCACGUGUUAAUUAUAACUCGUCCCUUUA